RNAcentral lists this ribosomal RNA (647 nucleotides) under uncultured bacterium. RNAcentral describes it as "partial 16S ribosomal RNA". The stretch from base 1 to 539 matches the Rfam family "Bacterial small subunit ribosomal RNA", at positions 338 to 873 of the family's 1533-position model. The record is from RNAcentral.
CCUACGGGAGGCAGCAGUGGGGAAUAUUGGACAAUGGGCGAAAGCCUGAUCCAGCAAUUCCGCGUGUGUGAAGAAGGCCUUCGGGUUGUAAAGCACUUUAGUGGGGGAAGAAACAGCUUGGCCACACCAAGCCUUGACGGUACCCCAAGAAUAAGCACCGGCUAACUCUGUGCCAGCAGCCGCGGUAAUACAGAGGGUGCAAGCGUUAAUCGGAUUUACUGGGCGUAAAGGGUGCGUAGGUGGCUAUUUAAGUCGGAUGUGAAAGCCCGGGGCUCAACCUCGGAAUUGCAUUCGAUACUGAGUGGCUAGAGUUCGGUAGAGGGCGGCGGAAUUUCCGGUGUAGCGGUGAAAUGCGUAGAUAUCGGAAGGAACAUCAAUGGCGAAGGCAGCCGCCUGGGCCUGGACUGACACUGAGGCACGAAAGCGUGGGUAGCAAACAGGAUUAGAUACCCUGGUAGUCCACGCCGUAAACGAUGAGAACUUGACGUUGGUUCGUUUUACGAAUCGGUGUCGCNGCUACGACGAUAAGUUACUCCGUCCGUCGGGGUAGGUACGGGCCGGCCGAACGGUUAGGUAAACGUUAACGUAAGUAAGUAAGUAGGACGGUCGUAGAGUAGUCGACGACGACGACCGACGGAGGGAGGAGG